Molecule: ribosomal RNA, 253 nt
Filed under: uncultured bacterium
Lineage: Bacteria
Description: partial 16S ribosomal RNA
Rfam family: Bacterial small subunit ribosomal RNA
Source: RNAcentral
GACGGACCGUCCGAACGUUAUUCGGAAUCACUGGGCUUAAAGGGUGCGUAGGCGGUGCGGAAAGUUGGGUGUGAAAUCCCUCGGCUUAACCGAGGAAUGGCGCCCAAAACUACCGUGCUUGAGGGAGACAGGGGUGAGCGGAACUGAUGGUGGAGCGGUGAAAUGCGUUGAUAUCAUCAGGAACACCGGUGGCGAAGGCGGCUCACUGGGUCUCUUCUGACGCUGAGGCACGAAAGCUAGGGUAGCGAACGGG